UACGGAGGGUGCGAGCGUUGUCCGGAAUCACUGGGCGUAAAGGGCGCGUAGGUGGCGCGGAAAGUCAACGGUGAAAGCUUGGGGCUCAACCCCGAGUCGGCCGUCGAUACUUCUGGGCUUGAGCACUGUAGAGGCAGGUGGAAUUCCGGGUGUAGCGGUGGAAUGCGUAGAGAUCCGGAAGAACACCAGUGGCGAAGGCGGCUCACUGGCCCGGUACUGACGCUGAUGUGCGAAAGCGUGGGGAGCAAACAGGG
This 254-nucleotide ribosomal RNA is filed under the name uncultured bacterium. RNAcentral's name for it is "partial 16S ribosomal RNA". It matches the Rfam family "Bacterial small subunit ribosomal RNA", at positions 524 to 777 of the family's 1533-position model. The record is from RNAcentral.